Salvia splendens (bonfire salvia) is the source of this 1296-nucleotide long non-coding RNA. RefSeq lists it as uncharacterized. Lineage: Eukaryota; Viridiplantae; Streptophyta; Magnoliopsida; Lamiales; Lamiaceae. The record is from RefSeq and is a predicted model, not a curated record. The transcript has 2 exons.
AUUAGAGAUGGAAAGGGGAUAAAAAUGCCUCCCUUCUAGAAUUUACGGGAGUUCUCUCUCCCUUCUUCACAAAAAGAAAAAUUCCCAAAUUAAGGAAGAAGAAAUCCCUAAAUCUCGAUCCCUCUCCUUCCUCUCAGCGACAACACAGGACAGCCGCCCUUGUCGCGCCUCACGGAGGCGCCCUCUCUUCCCGCUGUCUCUCCCUCCGGUCGGCGUAUCGCGUCUCCCGUGCAGACGCUGUUCGUCCGCUCCAGCGGACCAGCCGUCGCCGCCCCCGUGACUCCCUCUCUGCUCCGAUAACCACGCAGCACCGCCGCCGUCGGGCAUGCACAUGCGGUGCUCUCACCGUUGACGCCUCGGCGUCGCACCGAGGCUGUCUCCUUUUUGCCGGAAAAGCCGCUGCUUCGAGGACAGUUCUCGGCAUCCGCUCGACGUCAUACGCUCCUCUGUGGGCUAGGCUCGGAGACUCCGGACAGCUUCCUCCUUAAGCUAAGUCCCUAUUUUAUCCUAUUUCAGUUAGGCCUCUCGGGGCAGUAGCUAUGAAGGGUCUCUAAAUUGGGGUUGGGAGUAUUUGGGUUCUAUAAAAGCAUGCUCUUAUCCCAAAUUCUCUUAUCAUUUAUUAUGUUAAAAAAAAACAAAACUUGGAUAGUCGUUUUUGUCAAGUUGGGGUUCUGGUGCUUACUGUGAAGAAAUCAUACUGCUUAAUUCGGCAAUUUUAUUUUUUAAGAACCGAUUAGUCGCUUUUAGUGUAGUUAUGAAAUUGCUUGAAUGGAAGCUCGUUUAGAUUGAUAGUUGAAUGUGUUAUCAUAGUUCUAACCUUUGUUUGGCAAGUCAAAAAUCAAAGCCCUGACCCCGACUGAACAAUGGAUAACCUUUGCUUGGUGAGCCAUCCGGCGUGCUCUGUCAGGCCCCAGGACUCGAUGGCAUCAUAGUUGUCGGUUUUGGCUUGGCUGGCGCCCAUCGCCGCUCGCCACAGGCUUACCAUUGAUGCAGAUUCGGAAGUUUGGGGUUGUGGAUGAAGCAAAUGGGAUAAAAAGUGGUCGCAUGACAUGGGAGAGGUACUUGGCCCUUUUAGGCAGGCUUGAGAGGCUCACAUUCUAAAGAAACAAUUUCAAAUAUGUUGAGCACUUUUGGAAUAGAUUAGCACUUUAUAAUUUUUAGUACUAGUAUUGUUUGUGUAGUUUAAGUCAAAGAUGACCAACACUUAAUAUUGUUUAGUUUGUGUGUUCAAACACGUUACAUUUUUGUGUAAAAUCAUUUGAUGGUUUGAAUAUUAUUCAAAUAGUUGUCAUUUUA